AGUCUUAUAUUCAAUAAUGAUUUUAAAUUGCAAAUUUAAAGGAGGGUUUAUUCCUAAGGCUU
This 62-nucleotide transfer RNA is filed under the name Cucujoidea sp. 24 KM-2017. RNAcentral's name for it is "tRNA-Cys". Lineage: Eukaryota; Metazoa; Arthropoda; Insecta; Coleoptera. The record is from RNAcentral.